UACGUAGGGUGCAAGCGUUAAUCGGAAUUACUGGGCGUAAAGCGUGCGCAGGCGGUUGUGUAAGACAGAUGUGAAAUCCCCGGGCUCAACCUGGGAAUUGCGAUGGAGACUGCAAGGCUAGAAUCUGGCAGAGGGGGGUAGAAUUCCACGUGUAGCAGUGAAAUGCGUAGAGAUGUGGAGGAACACCGAUGGCGAAGGCAGCCCCCUGGGUCAAGAUUGACGCUCAUGCACGAAAGCGUGGGGAGCAAACAGG
This 253-nucleotide ribosomal RNA is filed under the name uncultured bacterium. RNAcentral's name for it is "partial 16S ribosomal RNA". It matches the Rfam family "Bacterial small subunit ribosomal RNA", at positions 524 to 776 of the family's 1533-position model. The record is from RNAcentral.